This 301-nucleotide ribosomal RNA is filed under the name uncultured bacterium. RNAcentral's name for it is "partial 16S ribosomal RNA". It matches the Rfam family "Bacterial small subunit ribosomal RNA", at positions 509 to 807 of the family's 1533-position model. The record is from RNAcentral.
CAGUCGCCGCGGUAAUACAGAGGGUGCGAGCGUUAAUCGGAUUUACUGGGCGUAAAGCGUGCGUAUGCGGCUUCUUAAGUCGGAUGUGAAAUCCCUGAGCUUAACUUAGGAAUUGCAUUCGAUACUGGGAAGCUAGAGUAUGGGAGAGGAUGGUAGAAUUCCAGGUGUAGCGGUGAAAUGCGUAGAGAUCUGGAGGAAUACCGAUGGCGAAGGCAGCCAUCUGGCCUAAUACUGACGCUGAGGUACGAAAGCAUGGGGAGCAAACAGGAUUAGAGACCCCUGUAGUCCCUGUCUCUUAUAC